This 73-nucleotide transfer RNA is filed under the name Phrynosoma platyrhinos (Desert horned lizard). Its description in RNAcentral is "tRNA-OTHER". Lineage: Eukaryota; Metazoa; Chordata; Lepidosauria; Squamata; Phrynosomatidae. The record is from RNAcentral.
GGCCAGUGUGGCAUAGUGGUUUGAGUGUUGGACUAUGACUCUAAAGACCAGGGUCUGAUUCCCAGCUUGGCCA